CCACUGUUGAGAUGGGUCUGAAGGGGGCAUGGUGUUUCCCAUGGUGUGGGUGCCGGAGACAGCGGGGGACUGAAAGAGGAGCAGGCCUGAGUCCUGCUGCCCCUCCAGAUCCCAGUCCAGCUAUAGCCCCCAUCAUGGCUGAGGGAGGGGUAUCCUGGCCAGGGCCUGGUGCCUACUUCAGCAGGAAAGCCCGACUCUCCUUCCGCCACCAGCUGCAUGACAUAGCAUCGGCCAAUGACUCCACCAUUUGAAGGGGACAACGAAGAGCUGAACCUCCAGGAAGGCUUAGCAAGCUUCCUUCCCCAGAUUUCUCAGCGAUCCUAAUGUCCACCUCCCCAAGUCCUUUCUAACCUUCUCAUUAAAUGUGUUCAUAGUUGCUAA
This is a long non-coding RNA of Nomascus leucogenys (northern white-cheeked gibbon), 381 nucleotides long. RefSeq lists it as uncharacterized. Lineage: Eukaryota; Metazoa; Chordata; Mammalia; Primates; Hylobatidae. The transcript has 2 exons. The record is from RefSeq and is a predicted model, not a curated record.